UUAAGAUUAAAAAGAAGAAGAAAAAAAUAUUUCAAUUAUAACAACUAAGACAAAUUUCAAACAUACCAUUUAGCCAGUAUAAAUGCUAUACCUUAAGAGAGCAAGAUUACAAAUUGAAUUACAGUUGAAGAACUAUUUACAUCACAUUUCUUCUUUUUUCGGUGGUACCAUUCCUAUAGAUCCCCCAGUUGGUGGACCACCAUCACAUUCUCAUGACUAAUGGCAGUCCAACCAAUCAUCAUUUAUUAUUUGGGGUUCACCCAUUCCCAAAUCACAAGAGUAAGUUUCACUUUUAACUUUUUAUUUUUGUGAAAAAGAAAAAGAUAGUCUCCUGUAAGAUAAUGGAAUUCUAGGAUUCUUCAUACAAAAUGGGGGAGAGAGUUCAAGUAAAUCUUUCAACUAUAUAUUCUCAAUACUUUCAGAACAUCUGUUUGAGUUUUUCCAUCAGAAUUUCCAUUCCUUUUGUAGAUGCUCACCACUGGGCACACUUUCAUAUCUUCUGUUUCAUUCUAAAUCCUCCUCUAAUAUAGUUUCAACCAUCCAUUUCAUAUUUUCCCCAUUGUUUGGCUUCAAUCCUCACUUUAAUGGUGAGAUCAAAACAGGGACAGGUGACAAUGAUUAUUAAAAACCUUUCAGUUACCUAUUCGUAUAUCCACAAAGUGCUACCUUAUUAAAAAAAAUCCAUAAGAACUAGAAUCUUUCUCCUCACUUUAUUAUUUUUCCUUCCAGCAAUAAAAUUAGCAUUCGAAUGCAGAGACAGAGAUGUAUUUUAAAACAG
RNAcentral lists this unclassified non-coding RNA (778 nucleotides) under Hevea brasiliensis (rubber tree). Lineage: Eukaryota; Viridiplantae; Streptophyta; Magnoliopsida; Malpighiales; Euphorbiaceae. The record is from RNAcentral.